CAACUUUUUUUUUAAAUUGGCAUGGUAAAAUAAAAAGUCAAUAAAACAGUACAAAUAAAAAUGAAUUAGAAAUUCAAAAAAUUAAGUUAUGAAUUUAAAAAAAUAAUCAUAUUUGAUCCCUUUUUAUAUCAAAAAAUAAAUAUGCAAACAUAUAUGUAAAACAAAAACAUAAUGGUUUACAACCAUAGAUAAAUAAAUAUUCUAAUUAUGGAAUGUCUAUCGAAAAAAAAAAAUCCGAAAGUACACAAUCAUGCUGAAUUAUUGAUAAACAGACUUUCAAGGCUUAAAGAAAUUUAAUCAGACAAGUCGAAAAGAAAUCCUCUCAAGCAACACGUACGAAUUCUAAUAUUUUAAAUCAUACCAUUAGAAAUGUAACGAAUCACUAAUAAAUGAUCUAAUUUGUUCUCUAUAACAAUUAAGGAGGUUAUAUUAUCAUACCUCCUGUCUAUACCAAUCCAAAUAAAGCUGAUGUUCUUACCAAACAGGAAUUGAAUCCAACUUCAUCUUUUGUUUAAAAUAAAAGUUUGCUUGACCUGAAAACAAUUCGACGGUUAAACAGUAUCCCCAAAGUCGAAGUAACACACCACACCCAUAUCAAAUAAGAAAAUGAAAUAAUAAAUUGUGGUAUUUUUGUUAGAUGAAUAAGAAGCAUUUACAAGUUACUUAUUUCAGAAAGCUGUAACAUACAUUAUGAGAAAAUAAAACGGCGGAUUUAAACAAUACGAGUAAAAAGGUGUAUACAGCCUAUGACAAGGCGGAGACUAGUUUUACAAUAAGGAUCUUCAAAAAUCAGGGAACUAAAAAUCAAAACACAUGAUCAAAAUUAUAAAAAAAAACAGUCAAGGUUACCCAACUCUACUUGAUUUUACAGUUCUAUUUUUGUUUCUGUAAUGCUGUAAUGCCGGGAUUGGGGAGUUGAACGCUCACAAUCGAGUUUGUUGUAGUUGGUUGAUGUCUGUCAUCGUUAUGUAUUUGGUUUAUUAUUGUAAAAUAUACCAAGCACUCAUAUUUCUCGUUUGAAUUGUUUUACAGUCUGUCAUCCCAGGGC
RNAcentral lists this long non-coding RNA (1048 nucleotides) under Mytilus galloprovincialis (Mediterranean mussel). The record is from RNAcentral. Lineage: Eukaryota; Metazoa; Mollusca; Bivalvia; Mytilida; Mytilidae.